AUUGAACGCUGGCGGCAUGCCUUACACAUGCAAGUCGAACGGCAGCGCGGGAGCAAUCCUGGCGGCGAGUGGCGAACGGGUGAGUAAUAUAUCGGAACGUGCCCAGUAGUGGGGGAUAGCCCGGCGAAAGCCGGAUUAAUACCGCAUGAGACCUAAGGGUGAAAGCGGGGGAUCGCAAGACCUCGCGCUAUUGGAGCGGCCGAUAUCAGAUUAGCUAGUUGGUGGGGUAAAGGCCUACCAAGGCAACGAUCUGUAGUUGGUCUGAGAGGACGACCAGCCACACUGGGACUGAGACACGGUCCAGACACCUACGGGUGGCAGCAGUCGAGAAUUUUUCACAAUGGGCGAAAGCCUGAUGGAGCGACGCCGCGUGGGGGAUGAAUGGCUUCGGCCCGUAAACCCCUGUCAUUCGGGAUCAAUGCUUAUUACUUAAUACAUAGUAAGUUGAUAGUACCGGAAGAGGAAGGGACGGCUAACUCUGUG
RNAcentral lists this ribosomal RNA (483 nucleotides) under uncultured bacterium. RNAcentral's name for it is "bacterial SSU rRNA". It matches the Rfam family "Bacterial small subunit ribosomal RNA", at positions 30 to 507 of the family's 1533-position model. The record is from RNAcentral.